RNAcentral lists this ribosomal RNA (158 nucleotides) under Inocybe subfulva. Its description in RNAcentral is "5.8S ribosomal RNA". The stretch from base 39 to 158 matches the Rfam family "5.8S ribosomal RNA", at positions 1 to 120 of the family's 154-position model. Rfam says of the family: 5.8S ribosomal RNA (5.8S rRNA) is a component of the large subunit of the eukaryotic ribosome. It is transcribed by RNA polymerase I as part of the 45S precursor that also contains 18S and 28S rRNA. The record is from RNAcentral. Lineage: Eukaryota; Fungi; Basidiomycota; Agaricomycetes; Agaricales; Inocybaceae.
CUAAAAUGUGUAUAGAAUGUUGAAUUUGGGAAAUAUACAACUUUCAGCAACGGAUCUCUUGGCUCUUGCAUCGAUGAAGAACGCAGCGAAAUGCGAUAAGUAAUGUGAAUUGCAGAAUUCAGUGAAUCAUCGAAUCUUUGAACGCAUCUUGCGCUCCU